AGGACGAACGCUGGCGGCGCGCUUAACACAUGCAAGUCGAGCGAGAACCAGGGCUUCGGCUCUGGGGACAGCGGCGAACGGGUGAGUAACACGUGAGUAAUCUGCCCUCGACACUGGGAUAGCCCGGGGAAACCCGGAUUAAUACCGGAUAGCCUUUCGAGCUCUCGGGCUCGUCAGAAAAGGAUGGCUUCGGCUUUCGGUUGAGGAUGAGCUUGCGGCGGAUUAGCUUGUUGGUGAGGUAACGGCUCACCAAGGCGACAAUCCGUAGCUGGUCUGAGAGGACGAUCAGCCACACUGGGACUGAGACACGGCCCAGACUCCUACGGGAGGCAGCAGUGGGGAAUCGUUGCGCAAUGAGCGAAAGCUUGACGCAGCGACGCCGCGUGAGGAAGAGGCCGUUCGGUUAGUAACCUCUUACGAGGAGGACGAAGCCGCGUCGGCUAACGACCCGAGACGGUACGACGGUACCUCCGAACGAACGAACGCCCCGACUAACGUACGUACG
RNAcentral lists this ribosomal RNA (505 nucleotides) under uncultured soil bacterium. Its description in RNAcentral is "bacterial SSU rRNA". It matches the Rfam family "Bacterial small subunit ribosomal RNA", at positions 26 to 509 of the family's 1533-position model. The record is from RNAcentral.